GUCCUGCAGCUGCCGUCUUCGUUUUGCUUUCUAUCUCGUCGAGCCUCGCCGUUGCGUCCGUCGUUCUCGUCAACGUGGUUGUCGUUCUUGCAGAUCUCUCUCGCAUUGUUUCCCUUGGCUCUCGUGUUUCUCCUGUUAGUCGCUGUACAGGCUAGCCGACACUCCGCGUUUACUAUCGAUCAUGCAGGAUGGAUCAUGUUCUUUUUGGGAACCUAUCUGGCCCAGAGUCCGGUGGCAGUAGAGAAGCCAAAGUCGGUCCUUGUGAGAGUAUCUCUUGUUGCCUGGAUGCUCGCAAUGUUAGUGUUAGUGCAGUUCACGAAGACGGAAAUCACCGCGUCUCGAAGCAUUCCCACCCUUUCAUCCGAAAUAAGGCACGUGGCAGCAUUUGCGUCACGCUUGGACACCGGCAACAUAUUGCCGUGCAUGAAUUUUUUUGUUGCCGGCAUUAUUGAUGGCCUCAACGGAAACGUGCCGCACUUAAUGUCCCUGCGUCAAGCGCUGAAGAAAUGCGACAAGACAUGCCUUACUGACGACAUCAAUGGUUUCUGCUUUCCACUCGCUGAACAAGGGUCGCACGCAAUCGUGAUGUCUUGCCGCCGUUUCCAGAAAGACAACGGCUGUUCGGCCGGUCUUGUGGUAGGUGAUGAAGAACUCCUACAGUAUUUGAAGUGGCUACCGACACACAUCAGAUUUCCCAUGAGGCACCAUCAUCGAAGGUUCAUACUGGCGCUGCAAGAGUCUGGGCUCUUUUGGGAAUUCAUAAGAAAGGACGUCACGCCCUGCAGCGACCGGACAACCUUCGCAACAUUUGACAUUCCAUUCAACGACUACGCUGCCAUUUACCUCGCUGGAUGUGGCAUAUCCCUGGUGGCGUUUGGCGCAGAGGUGCUUUGUCAGCGUUGCUACCACGCACGGCGCCACAAAGCUCCCCGAGUGUAUACCAACUACAAUGGCCUAACCAAGCUUGCGAGAAGGAAAAUGUGAAGCGUCUACAAUAAAUUACUUGUAGAGAAAGAGGGAGGGUCAGUCAACCGCAAGCUCUGUACAGCCUAGCACAUUGGUGAUGUUGUUGUUCUUGUUGAUGUUCUUGUUGUUGUUUUGGUGCUUGUUGUUAGUAACUCACACAUGUUUAAAAAUAUUAAAGCUCGACACAAUGUUCCACGCUGGG
This is a long non-coding RNA of Dermacentor albipictus, 1168 nucleotides long. RefSeq lists it as uncharacterized. Lineage: Eukaryota; Metazoa; Arthropoda; Arachnida; Ixodida; Ixodidae. The record is from RefSeq and is a predicted model, not a curated record.